This 543-nucleotide long non-coding RNA is filed under the name Rattus norvegicus (Norway rat). RNAcentral describes it as "long non-coding RNA NONRATT028675". The record is from RNAcentral. Lineage: Eukaryota; Metazoa; Chordata; Mammalia; Rodentia; Muridae.
GGUUUCCCCACUGUAAAUACUGCCUCGCCCCUCCUUUGAACUCCAGGGCAUCAGACCUCAAGGGUUAAACUGGACCCACCCGGGGGAAAAAGGGGGGGAGGUGGGAGACCUCUUCCACGACCCCUCCCACUCCACCCUGAGUAGGGCCUGGGACCCGGAAUGUGAAUAUAAUGUAGCUUCUUCGCUGGCUCCGGCCGUGCGCUCCCAGUCCUGUCCACUUCUGAAACUCUUGUUCCUAACGACAACGUGGCUAUGUGCAAUGGAUAUAAACGGACUGUGAGUCUCUUGGUUCAGUAUUAGGUUCGCUUUAUUUAUACUGUAAGUUAUUUUACUUACCCUGGACCCCUAUCCAGUCCUCGUUUUACAUUCAUUCUUGUUUGGAUUUGCUUUGUGAUUUUGUUGUUGUUAUUGUUGUUGUUGUUGUUGUGUAACGUAACAGCACUUUAAAAGGACGACAACUGACUCACGAGAUGGUGACCAUCUUGAGCCUAUUUGGGGAGACCUGUAUCCGUGACUUUUGUUUUUAAUAAAAAGAAAAAAAAA